Molecule: ribosomal RNA, 526 nt
Filed under: uncultured Nitrospira sp.
Lineage: Bacteria; Pseudomonadati; Nitrospirota; Nitrospiria; Nitrospirales; Nitrospiraceae
Description: bacterial SSU rRNA
Rfam family: Bacterial small subunit ribosomal RNA
Source: RNAcentral
AGAGUUUGAUCCUGGCUCAGAACGAACGCUGGCGGCGCGCCUAAUACAUGCAAGUCGAGCGAGAAGACGUAGCAAUACGUUUGUAAAGCGGCGAACGGGUGAGGAAUACAUGGGUAACCUACCCCAGAGUGGGGAAUAACUAGCCGAAAGGUUAGCUAAUACCGCGUACGCUCCUUGGACUUCGGUUCAGGGAGGAAAGCGAUACCGAGGGUAUCGCGCUCUUGGAUGGGCUCAUGUCCUAUCAGCUUGUUGGUGAGGUAACGGCUCACCAAGGCUUCGACGGGUAGCUGGUCUGAGAGGACGAUCAGCCACACUGGCACUGCGACACGGGCCAGACUCCUACGGGAGGCAGCAGUAAGGAAUAUUGCGCAAUGGGCGAAAGCCUGACGCAGCGACGCCGCGAGGGGGAUGAAGGUCUUCGGAUUGUAAACCCCUUUCGGGAGGGAAGAUGGAAUGGGGUAACCCAUUCGGACGGUACCUCCAGAAGCAGCCACGGCUAACUUCGUGCCAGCAGCCGCGGUAAUAC